Molecule: long non-coding RNA, 2463 nt
Organism: Pogoniulus pusillus (Red-fronted tinkerbird)
Lineage: Eukaryota; Metazoa; Chordata; Aves; Piciformes; Lybiidae
Exons: 6
Source: RefSeq, a predicted model, not a curated record
GUGCUCUCAGGUCUGAAAUCUCUGGAGUUCCAUCUCAUUACACCUUCAGCAUGUUGCAGCAGUGGUCUGCAGAACUGACCUCACGGCUGUAGGUGUGCUGGCAGCACCACGGAACACUACAAGACAUUCCGUAGCAGGCCUCUAGCUUCAUCACUGCUCCCCAGCCUUUCUUUAAACAGGGACCAUUGGCAUUUGGAAGGCCAGCAGCUGUUAAGAGGAGUAACAUUGACUCCUACAACUUGUAUGCAGCGUGGAAUAAUGAAAUCAUCGAAGACGUUGGAGAGCCACAGAGUGUUGGCAACCAGGAAGGCUCAAGGACAUCACCAGUGCUACAAUUUGAACUUUGUUUUGACAGAGCAUUGAAGUACAGCUUUGCUGCCUCCAGUGGAAACCUGCUGGAUGAGAUGCUUUGUGAGUGGCACAUUCAGCACUGCAAAGCUCUCCUGUGCCAGCCUCAGGACUUCCAGCAAGCAGCAGGUAGUGCAGCCCACUGUCAAAAAGCCUGAAAUCUUCAAAGGAAGCAAUUUGAUGAGAAAGACUUCUGGACAGACUCCUGGAAAUGCUCAUUUUGCUUAAUCACCUUUUGGCCUUGGAACCGAACAUCCUCCUCCAAAGUAUUGCCUUCAAUUCUGCUUGCAAGUUUGGUAUGCCAGAUUAAGGAUGGAUGUGGGACAUGAAAGGAUUUUUCUCCCCCACUUCACACUUAAAACAAUUCAGAUUUCCUGUGUAAGCCUGUCCCCAGGGAUGGAAAACCUGGUGUACACAACUCAUAAAUAAAGCUGGUGAGACAUGAGCAAGAAAAAAAAGCAUAGCCUUCUUCUGGGAAUCACUCCAGGAAAAUAAAUAUGCAAGAUGGCACAUCACCCUACACAGAGCUGGCAAAGGCUCUAUCUACUCCAGAUACAUGAGGACAGCAAGGACCACCAGCAGACUGCUUGUGAGAAUCAGCAUGCUAGCAAUGCCCACCAAGCUCACCCAGGUACCCAGAUGGCAAAGUGCUCUGAGGAAAAGGUGGUGUGCCCAUAUCUGAGUUAUGGACAUCCUAGAAUGGCAGCAUCUUCAGCGAAGAGAGGAUAAUCUACAAGAAAAUGUCCAUACAGUAGGUGCAUGCAUGUGUGCAUGAAGGAAAACAAGUGUUACAAUCAAAUCCUGACACAUAAGUUGAAAUGUAAGAAAUCCAGAAGCAGGUUUUGUGUCUGUCAUCUGCUUUAAGGGUUAAACCGACUCAGACUUCAGCAACAGCGAUCAGCUUAAGCUAGCAGAGCCAAGACUGCUGCAAGAACUGUUCUUUUUCCUUCCUGCUACUUAGACUCAGCCCUUGCACUGCCUGCUCCAUUGUGUAAGCACAGGCUCUCACACAUCUACAUAAAUGAGGCAAGCCAGGGACCUAUUUGAGUCAAAACUCACCCGUAUUUUUUAGUUGGAUCAGUUUUAACCUGGAUCAGUUUUCCAAAUACAGUUUGUAGUGCAGCUAUUCAAAACUGCUUGCACUGACAAGGAAGAGUGCAAGGGACCUCCUGUGACAGUGCUGACUCAAAUCUUCCCUGAAAAUAUAACCUCACCUUGGUUUGACCCUUGCAGGCUAACUUACUGAGUACAAGAAGAAUAUGAAAGCAGAAGUGUGCUCUAGUGAAUGAAGGGAAACUGGGUACAGCUCAGAGAGCAUGUGAGUUCCCUAGCAGUGCCUGCACAGCUAUAGGACUACCGCUCGGAGCAAGCCACUUACGUCAACAAGGAAAGUCCCUUCUCUCUUUCUCCCAGAAGGUAACAUUCAACACUUUCAGAAAUCAAUACCUCAAAUGAACAGCAAAGUGGCUCUAGGUUUAGGCAUCCAGUCUCAGUCCUGCUGCCUGCUCUUCUGGUGCAGGGAGUUGCUUUCUCUGCAGCAGUAGUGCUAGAUGCAAACUUGCAUCCACACCUCACACUCAUUUAGAAGCCAGAAGUCUCCAGUUGCUUAAAUGUCUUGGAUUAUAUACCAGCCCAGCUGGGCUGCAGACUCUUCAUGUUCUGCUGCCUAUGCAUAUGACAAUAGAGCAUUGUAGUGGAUUGGUAUCCCCUAGCACAGAAGUGCACUGCAAAUGUAGUAUCUUUAACUCCUGCAGGAAGGGGCACCAGAGCACAUCUGUCAGCGCUGAAAGACGUGAAGCCAUCAGUGAAACAAACAGUGGUGGCAAGAUACCACGCUCAGGAAGCUGACUGCGUGAACAGAAAGACAACAGAGCAGGGACUGGAGCAAGAAAAGAAGAGAGAAGUGUCCCUACCAACAUCCUAUGGAAAUGAGGGAAACUUGUCAGUUAAGCAACAGCACAAAAUGUACUCAGAGAUGUUAUUUGCUAACGUGCCUCACCAGUAACCUCCCAAUGAUUUAUUAGCCUUUGUGAAAUUCAUAAGAGCAUUCUUGUAGUUCCAAAGGUUUUCCAAACACGAGCCUUGCAAAUGUAAAUAACUGUCAAACGAUUUAAA